CUAGUCCUAGUGGGUAUUUUAUGCCGCUUACGGAAGGAAACGGUAGCGCUAUCUGUUGACAUUCAAGGGAUGUAUCAUCAGUUUUAUGUAAACGAAAAGUUCCGAGAUUUCCUCAGAUUCUUAUGGUGGGAAGAGAACGAUCCGAACAAAGCGGUAUGUGAAUACCGGAUGAAAGUACACAUAUUCGGCGCUGUGAGUUCGCCGGCUUGUGCCAAUUUUGGACUCCGAAGAGCUGCUGACGACGGCGAAGCAGAGUUCGGUAAAGAUGCAGCUGACUUCAUACGUCAAGACUUCUACGUGGAUGACGGUGUGACUUCGGUAGAAAACAGCGACACUUCUAUUUCUCUCCUUAACAGAUGCAAAGUUAAAUGACGCCCCUCUUACCAGGCGGGGCAUUUUAUCCACAAUCAGUUCGUUGUAUGACCCGCUUUCCUUCAUUGGACCAGUGAUGUUGGAAGGAAAACGCAUCUUACAGGCUGUUACAGCAACUGUGUAGAGACAAGGUGGAUUGGGACGACGAGCUGUCGCACGAAAUGAGAAUGCGAUGGGAGAAAUGGAGAAAUAAGCUCGUACACUUGGGCGAUAUCACAGUAAAGAGAUGUUUCCAUCCGCACGGGUUUGGUAAGAUUAAAAGCGUUGAGUUGCAUCAUUUUUCGGAUGCCAGCACUAUAGGAUAUGGUCAAUGUUCAUACAUUCGACUGACAAAUGUUUUAAACAAGGUCUGAUGUGCCUUUGUUAUAGGUAAAUCUAGAGUGGCUCCCUUGAAACCUGUAACAGUGCCCAGGAUGGAACUAACCGCGGCCGUCGUCUCGGCAAGAAUGAGUCGGUAUCUACGAGAUCACAUACGAUUUAAUGAUUACGACGAGUACUUUUGGACGGACAGUAAAGUGGUGCUCGGCUACAUCGGCAACGACGCUCGCAAAUUUCAAACUUUCGUGGCUAAUCGGCUUCAGACGAUUAAAGAAAACACAAAUGAACAUGAAUGGAGGUACGUAAAAACUGAAGAAAACCCAAGUGACUGUGCAAGUAGGGGAAUGAAACCAGAAGACCUCACUAUGAAUUCGAUCUGGUUACGAGGCCCUAACUUUCUGUGGGAAAGUUCUACGAAUCUUCAACGGUGUUUCGUGAACCACGAUCCUGAAGUCAUGAAAGGAAUCCAAUUAGAGAUGAAAAAGGGAGUGGUACUCAAAACUAUAGCCGGGUUUGGGGUGAGUGACUUAGGGAAUAGAUUGGUGCAUGUGUCUACUUGGCAUAAGGCUAAAAGGGCAGUGGCUAACUGCGUUGCUUGGAAACUAAAACGUCGACAAGAUCAAAACUUAAAGGUCGGGCGUUCUCAAUCACUUGACGCAGAAAGGCGUAUAAUCCGAAGUAUUCAACAUUUAUAUUUUUUAGCGGAAAUACAAACAUUAACUUUUGCCUCCGAACGUGGUAACCAGCGGGAAACGUCGAAGAGAACCAAACAGAAACUCAAACGCCAAAGUUCGUUAUAUCGGUUGGAUCCCUUUCUAGACAACGAAGAAAUGCUAAGAGUCGAUUACGCAACUCUAGCUUGACAUACGACGUGGGACAUCCUGUGAUCAUACCCAAGAACCAUCAUAUAACAAACCUGAUAAUUCGUCAUUGCCACAAUCUGGUGCAUCAUAUGGGAAGAUCAGCAACGCACAAUUGCACGAGACAACAAGGGUACUGGAUCAUAAACGGUUCGUCAUCAGUUGCUAAUUAUAUUAGAAAAUGUAUACUUUGUCGUAGACUUCGUGGGUCGUUACAAAUUCAAAAGAUGGCAGAUUUGCCGUGCGACAGAUUUAACGAAGGGGGGGCGUUUUCCUUUUCGGGUAUGGACUACUUUGAGCCGUUCGUGGUUAAAGAAAAACGUUCUUUGGUUAAAAGAUAUGGCGUGUUGUUCACAUGUUUGUCUUCCAGGGCUAUCCAUAUCAAAACUGCGAAUUCGUUGGAUACGAGUUCAUGUAUUAACGCCCUAAGACGUUUUGUUGCAAGGCGGGGACCGGUUAUUCAAAUUCGAUCGGAUUGUGGAACCAAUAUCGUCGGCGCAAGAAUUGACCUCCAGUCGUGCCAACCCGAUCAAAACGAAAUACAGCGUUUUCUGUUGCAACAUGAAUGCGAUUUGGUCUCCUUCAAAUUUAAUGUCCCGCACGCCAGCCAUAUCGGUGGUGUGUGGGAGCGACAAAUUUAAACUGUAAAGCGAGUUCUUGCCAGUUUGUUAUUGCAGAAUAGUUCUCAACUGGACGAUGAGACGUUCCGGACCUUCAUGACGGAGGUUGAGAAUGUCGUCAACUCGCGACCAUUCACGAUCGACGCCAUGAGUCAAUCCGACAGCCCGGAACCGCUCACUCCAAAUCACAUAUUGACGAUGAAGAAGCGACCGUUAUUGAGCCCGAGAGGAGUUUUCCAGAAAACCGACCUUUACCUGAAGAAACGAUGGAGAAGGGUGCAAUAUCUAACCAAUCAAUUUUGGACCAGAUGGAGAAAAGAGUUUCUACAAACUUUGCAGGUACGAAAGAAAUGGCAAGGGCGGUACCCGAGCGAAGAUGGUAUGAUACGAAAGGUGAAACUGACGGUCACUUAAGGGGAUCGAGACAAGCAGGGCAAAAAACGAAAACUCCUUCUGUGCUCGAGAGACCAAUCCACAAUUAGUGCUAUUGGUGGAGAAUGACGAUUCCCGGACGGGGAGCCAAACAUCUUCGCGAGAGCGACGAAAGGCUGUAUUCGUUUUUGUUUAUUUUAACUGCUGGUUAUGUGUGUAUAUAAGGGCCUUUUUUGGGACGAGUUGCCACUAGCUCUGUGUUAUUUUAAAAUUCGUGCAAUUUUGGGGAGCCAUGUGACUGCGGUACAGUCUGUUUCGAGAUUAUCCACGUGACGUAAUACUUCGUUUACAUUGUUUCUGUGUUUUGACCUUAUUUUCGUUGGCUUCGCGUUAGUCUUUUAUUACAACCGUUGGUGGACGGAGGUUACGUUGCUGCUGUGUGCGGCCGGGUUGCAUUUAAUAGAGACGUCGUUGGACGACUUAUCUCCUUUGCGUCGACAUAUCGCUCUCCUACGUAGAAUUAUUUCAGUUACCGCGAGCCUUCCAAUAAACUCGAUUAAAACAAGAGGGUUCGGGUGUGAACUGACUACGUACAGCGCAGAGUGUUGAGUGGCCCGGGAGCAGGUCGCCGCCGCUACAGAUAUUAUGCGCAAAAGGUGUCCCAUCUUCCCCCAUCCUACUAUAUAUUGAACCGAAAGAUCAACACUAAAGUAAUCAUUCUGUUACUUCUGCUACCAGGCAUAGUACAAACAAUAUAUCAGUGGCUACUACAAGCGAAAAGCAGAAAAGGUGAGAAAAAGGCGAUAUUAACGUGAUAAGGGCACUGUAAGGAAGAGACGGUGAGAGUAAUCUUUUCAAACGCUAAGCGACAUUUCUAAGACUUAUUUACACAAGGUAGGCAUUGUCGACGUUGGGAAGCUAAUGUAACUUUAUUUGUUAUAAAGAAACACAAUAUACAGUUACCUUAUAAAACAUCUCUUCCACAAUACAACAACAAUAACGUGUGGC
Non-coding RNA from Ciona intestinalis (vase tunicate), 3550 nucleotides. Lineage: Eukaryota; Metazoa; Chordata; Ascidiacea; Phlebobranchia; Cionidae. The record is from RefSeq and is a predicted model, not a curated record.